This 682-nucleotide long non-coding RNA is filed under the name Prunus persica (peach). RNAcentral's name for it is "long non-coding RNA (PPER_LNC002870)". Lineage: Eukaryota; Viridiplantae; Streptophyta; Magnoliopsida; Rosales; Rosaceae. The record is from RNAcentral.
CCACAUCCCGACAUUUGAUAAUAUUCUAAUUAACCAAGGGUGCAUGGUACAAAAUCUGGAGGCCAUCAGAAGAAAGCAGUAUAAAUUAUAGAUUAAAUAAGAAAGAAUAACGGAGAUCAAAUAAUUGCAAUGGGAUAAAGGCAUUUGGCCUUAUUUGGUGGGUUUGAUUGAACUCGAUAUUUAGAAAGGUUAGCAUCUCUUUAAAUUGACUUAUUAAACUUUUGAUGGUGGGUUCCUUCAAUUAUUUAUUUAAUCUUCUAAAAAAGAGGUUCCUUCGAUUUUUCACGCGAAUAAAAACCCCAUUAGCAUAUACCUCGUUCAAAAACUGUCAAUUACCCCAAACCCUAAUGUACUUAUCAUGGACUGAUAAAUUACCUCAAAAGGCUUUCUUCCCGUGUUUUUAUUUCUUCUCCAAACAAUGAAAAAGAAUCUUAUGCUAUACAAACCCAGAAUCUUAGGCUGAUAAUUAUCUUAAUAUUUAAAGGAAGAAUCUCCCACACAUGUGGGUGGCUAAUUAACAUGAUCAUGGAAGUGGAUUCUCUCAUUUGUUUAAGCCUAUUUUGAUUACAUCUCCAAUAACAAAAUUAUAAGAAAAGGAUCACCUUAAUUAAUUAGUCAUAGUCAUGUCUAAUCAAGUAUUAAAAAGACUAAUUCAGGUGUUAAUUUAUUAAGUUCGAUUCGG